UACGAUAUGUUGAUGAAGACAAGUAGGUUUUGCCCGACCGGUUACAGAGAGAUGACGGUGCUGUGAGUCAUUACCGGAUCAAAGCUGAAUUUCACUUCGGAGUAUCAAUAUAUGCGAUGAGCGCCGGCUUAAGCCGGAACUCGGGUGGUACCGCGGUAAAUCCGUCCCGAAC
RNAcentral lists this non-coding RNA (172 nucleotides) under Mageeibacillus indolicus. RNAcentral's name for it is "Clostridiales genomosp. T-box sequence". It matches the Rfam family "T-box leader". From Rfam's summary of the family: Uncharged tRNA acts as the effector for transcription antitermination of genes in the T-box leader family. T-boxes are found upstream of many aminoacyl-tRNA synthetase genes and some amino acid biosynthetic genes usually in Gram-positive bacteria. The record is from RNAcentral. Lineage: Bacteria; Bacillati; Bacillota; Clostridia; Eubacteriales; Oscillospiraceae.